GUAAGAAAUGGUGUGUAGGAAAAUGACCUAUGAAUUGACAGACAUUAUAUUUAAAGUUUGUCUGUCAUUUCUGUAGGCCAAUGCCUUGUAUGUCUGUGCUGCU
Monodelphis domestica (gray short-tailed opossum) is the source of this 103-nucleotide microRNA precursor. Ensembl annotates it as mdo-mir-215. Its record names the gene mdo-mir-215. The record is from Ensembl. NCBI's taxonomy places the organism in Eukaryota, Metazoa, Chordata, Mammalia, Didelphimorphia, Didelphidae.